GCGGACAUCACUAUCUAGUUAAUAUCUAAGACUUAAAACAAAUGAAAAUUGAACUAUAAAAACACAAAAUGAAAAUGGUUGGACUUCAGCAACUUGUAAAUAUUAGGGAAUGCGAUUUCAAAGGAGAUCGAACUGUGGUUGGACUUAAAUAACUAACAAAUCACAUAUUAAGCUACAGAGAAAAUGGUUAUGUAUUCCAUUUUCUUACACACAAAAAAAAAAUUCUGGUUUAUUAGAUUUUUUUUUUGUCAUUUUUAGUGACGUGGGAUAAAGUUCCUAAUAUACUCCUAAAUUUAACAAAAAAAAAAUGAUGGCGUUAAUGAAAAUGGUCAAUGGUACAACACAUUGUAGAGUUCGAAGACUAAAAAACUAAUAUGAGAGUUUAGAGACCAAAAUUAAACUAGGAGUAAUGUUCAGAAACCAUUGGUACAAUUAAGUGUUUCUUAAGAAUAAUCAAAUGGUUGAAAAUCGAAUGGAAUCGUAAAAUAAAUUGGUUCGGCUGUAGUUUUGAGUUUUUAUUUUAGAUGUAUCCUCUUACUGGUUGAAAUAAAAAUGGUUUUUUUUUUUUAAGCGAAGGUACGAUAUUCAUUAAGUAAAUUAGAAUUCGUACAAAUUGAGGAUAGUGCGCAUAAUGGGCCUUGAUAAACCCUUUCUGGAGAUUUUAAUCCAGUCGAAGGAAAAAAGUGUCUUGCACAACAAGAGAACUACCCUCAAAUGAACAAUGGAAAAGAAUUACAACCCCUCCUCUAGAAGUAUAUCUUAGAUCAAAUCUAGAGGCUCCUCAAACCACAUUACCUCAUGAGCACUAUUAAUUCCCAACCGAGCAAGCUGAUAGGCUGCUGAGUUCCCUUCUCGUUGAAUAUGACUAACCACUGAAUCGACCACUCCAUGAGAAGGCAUCCCAAAUCAUUGAUUAUAGGACCUAAGGCAGAGUUGUCGUCCCCACUCCCCUGCGUGGAAGCCAACACGAACGCAAAGUCUCCAUCGAACUGAAUCUUCCCCUCCACUGUACAAAUAGUGCCCACCAAUAUUGCAGCUCUACGAGCUACAAAGAAUUCAGCAUGCAAUGCAGAGUUUACCCUCUCAAUGGGCCCAACAGCAGCGACAAGACACUCCCUCAAAUGAUUUCAAAUCACCACCCCAAAACCUCCCCGGUUACUUCUAUUGUUCCAAGCUCCAUCGAAGUUGCACUUAACCCAUCCCUCCGCAGGUCUCCCCCACUUCUGAUGCUCUCGGUUUGCCUUCCUCACCACUGGCUUGUGCCACUUAUGAAAUUCCUACAUCCAGCCCUCGGUACGAAGCAUAAUUUCAAGCGGCGGUAACUAGAUAAGAAUGUUGAAUUUAAUGUUAGUGAAAUUUUGAAGAUUGACGACAUGUUGAAUUUUGGCUAACAAUAUUGUAAAAAAAGGCAAAAGAAAGAAAAACUAUUAUAAUGUCAUUGGUUUGGUCGCAAUUUUUUUUGUGAAAUCAAUCCAACCUGAACAAUGCCCGGCCCUAAAGUAUAUGAUUAUAAGUGCUUGAAAAUUCCUGCAUACAUCCAUGGUCAUGUGAGACCCACGUGAUUUAACUUGUCAAGACUUUAUGUAAUUUUCAAAAAGAGAUUGAGUCAUUUACAAUUUUCAAAUCUUUAACAAUUGAAAUCACUGUUUUAUGGUAAUUAUACAAAAUUACUUUAAUUAUGAGUCGAAUCACAAUUUCAUAUCUCAUGUUUUAAAAAUUACAAAUAUUUAGUACUACGAUUUAGUGGUAUUCCUCUUCAGUUGCAAGUAAGAGGUCUUAAGUUCGAUUCUCGCCGAAGGUGAAUUUGAUCUUUCAUUGUUCAAAUAUGUUAUCUUUGAUGUUUUAACUUUUAGGGUUCAAUAUUUAAGAACCAUUUAUGAAAUUUUUAGUUCCUGGACUGAAUUAAUAUUCAAUAUUUUGCACUUCCCUACUGAUUAUUGAAUCAUUGAUGUUCUAUUCUAGGUGAACAUUUAACAGAUUUAUCAUGGACAAGUUAACAAAAUAAUUUUGUUGAAUGUUCUAAUUCAGUUCGACUGCCUUCUAGUUAGCCUACUUGAGCAUUUUCAUUUCUUAUGCUGAAAGAGCUCUACAUGCAUCUCUUCUUAUUAAGUUUUUGUUCUAUUGGUGUCCAUUGUCUUUGUCAGCUUAAGUUCUUGGACUACCUACAAUGGGAGGCAAUUAUUCGUUGGAUACUUGAGUAUUGCUUCACUAAUUUUCAUGUAUGUUUGCCAUUGAUUGUCAUCAUAACUUUGUGUCGAAUGAUCCUCAUUCAGAUUGUUCUUAGAUGGUUGAAUUUGUUCUCACUCAUGCCCUUUUUUUCUUCAAAAUUUGGUGAUCAAGACAAAAUGCGUUGAGUUCAUGCCAUUUAAUCUUUUCUUUGCAACUUUCAUAGUGAGUUUCUCAUUCACUGGACAUGGAGUGUUCAAGGUGAACCUUUUUCUCUAUGUAAGUACUAUAUUUUCUUCAAUCCAAAAUUUUAGCAAUUAUAUAAUCUCGCUCAUCAUAGCACAUAUUCGUCAUUCUCAUUUCUUGGUCCAAAUUGCAUCUUAAAACGUGGUUGAAUGUCCUUCACAUCAAGCACCAAUCAACCAUAUCACACUUGCAUUGCAUAAUCAUUAAGUUCAUUUCUUCAAUAUUUUGGAUGUAGAUGCCAAAUGGUACUGAGAAACAAUUUUAGCCUUUGUACAGUUGGUUCUAUUCUUCUGAAAAAGAUGCGGAAGAAGAACCAUUGAUAGUUGCACAUCUAUGUUACAGAGAUUUGAUUCAAAUUGGUGGAUUUGUGUAAGAAAAUAAGAAACCCUAACAUUUCUUUCGAGUUUAAGAGCUGAAAUGGACAUGCAUGUGUUUAUCAUUGUGAGAUAUAAGGGAUUGAGGAAUUUUGAGAGUGGUGGCUAGCUAAGGAAAUAGAGAAGGGAUAAUUCAUUUUGUUUUGGGAUCCAGAGUUUAUUAGAAAGUUGAAUUCUCAUGAUUUUGUUGUUGUUCUAAUAUCUUAUGUUCAUGUA
This is a non-coding RNA of Malus domestica (apple), 3002 nucleotides long. The record is from RefSeq and is a predicted model, not a curated record. Lineage: Eukaryota; Viridiplantae; Streptophyta; Magnoliopsida; Rosales; Rosaceae.